ACUGCUCAGUAACACGUGGACAACCUACCCUUGGGACGGGGAUAAACCCGGGAAACUGGGUAUAAUACCCGAUAGUCCUCGACUGCUGGAAUGCAUCGAGGUCGAAAGCUCCGGUGCCCAAGGAUGGGUCUGCGGCCUAUCAGGUAGUAGUGGGUGUAGCGUACCUACUAGCCUACGACGGGUACGGGUUGUGAGAGCAAGAGCCCGGAGAUGGAUUCUGAGACACGAAUCCAGGCCCUACGGGGUGCAGCAGGCGCGAAAACUUUACAAUGCUGGAAACAGCGAUAAGGGAACCUCGAGUGCCAGGUUACAAAUCUGGCUGUCGUGAUGCCUAAAAAGCAUUGCAUAGCAAGGGCCGGGCAAGACCGGUGCCAGCCGCCGCGGUAACACCGGCGGCUCGAGUGGUAACCGUUAUUAUUGGGUCUAAAGGGUCUGUAGCCGGCCGGAUAAGUCUCUUGGGAAAUCUGGCAGCUUAACUGUCAGGCUUUCAGGAGAUACUGUCUGGCUCGAGGCCGGGAGAGGUGAGAGGUACUUCAGGGGUAGGGGUGAAAUCUUGUAAUCCUUGAAGGACCACCAGUGGCGAAGGCGUCUCACCAGAACGGACCUGACGGCAAGGGACGAAAGCUAGGGGCACGAACCGGAUUAGAUACCCGGGUAGUCCUAGCCGUAAACGAUACUCGCUAGGUGUCGGCCGCGGUGCGACCGUGGUCGGUGCCGUAGGGAAGCCGUGAAGCGAGCCACCUGGGAAGUACGGCCGCAAGGCUGAAACUUAAAGGAAUUGGCGGGGGAGCA
RNAcentral lists this ribosomal RNA (792 nucleotides) under uncultured archaeon. RNAcentral describes it as "bacterial SSU rRNA". It matches the Rfam family "Archaeal small subunit ribosomal RNA", at positions 85 to 878 of the family's 1478-position model. The record is from RNAcentral.